CCCUCCGCACCGCCAUCUCAGCGGCGGCAGGACUACAUUUCCCAGAGCGCCGGGCGCGGAAUGGCGGCGGCUGGUGGCGCUGGGGAGCCGUGAGAGGCGACUCCGGCUGCAGCGCUGACACCGGCACCAGGAGCAGGAGCAGGAUGUAUACACUGCUGUCAGGGCUCUAUAAAUACAUGUUCCAGAGGGAUGAGUACUGUGUCCUGAUCCUGGGUUUGGACAAUGCUGGUAAAACUACCUUCCUUGAACAAACUAAAACCCGGUUUAACAAGAACUACAAAGGGAUGAGUUUGUCCAAAAUCACAACCACUGUAGGUUUAAACAUUGGAACUAUUGAUGUUGGCAAAACUCGGCUCAUGUUCUGGGACCUUGGUGGGCAGGAGGAGCUGCAGUCACUUUGGGACAAGUACUAUGCUGAAUCUCAUGGGGUGAUCUAUGUCAUUGACUCCACUGAUGAGGAGAGGCUCUCUGAGUCCAAAAGAGCUUUUGAGAAGAUGAUUACCAGUGAAGCUCUGGAAGGGGUUCCCAUUCUGGUGUUGGCCAACAAGCAGGAUGUAGAGACUUGUCUGUCGAUACCCGAUAUCAAGACAGCAUUUAGUGACUGCAUUAACAAAAUUGGGAAGAGAGACUGCCUGACACAAGCCUGCUCAGCCCUUACUGGUUUGAGCUUGCACUAAAAGAAUAACUCAUGGAAGUCAUGGCUGGGGAGCUGUGCAGACCAGCAAGGUGUUGCUUGGCAGCCCCAGCACAGAUGAUUACACAAAGAUGGAGCCAAGAUUGCAAGAUCUUAUACAACUAAUGUGAGGUUUGUGGCAAAAUGACCUCAAACCAGCUGUCAGCAAAGGGGUGAAUGAAGGAAUUGAAUGGAUGGUGAAGUGUGUGGUGAGGAACAUCCACCGCCCCCCAAGGAAGAAGGACAUCACGUAGGAGCUCCGAGCCACCCAAGCAAUGGACAGUCUCUUUCCACACACUUUGUGCUCCCUUUAAAGAAGGUGAUCCACUGGAUUCCUAUUACACCUGAUUCUUUCCUAAGUUUGGAGACAAAUAUUCUCUUCCUGUGUCCAAAAAAACCUUGAGCCAAGGAUUCCAACAGGGUGGGGGGUGGGAAUCUCUUACAUUAAGUAUUGUCAUUGGCCUCCAAGCAUCCUAUGUAGCAACCUACACAUUGUUGCCAAUGCAAAAGACUUAAUUUUCUACUAUCUUACUUUGUGAUUCCUGAUUUGUGAGUCUAACAAGCUGGAGGCUGGUGACAUGAAGGAACUCCUGAAGGAAAUGCAUAGGUGAAUGUGGAAGGGGGAGGAGCAGCCUGGGGAAUGGCUGUUCCUCCUAGCUGCCAAGGUCCUUGCUGCUCCAGCCCCAUGUUCCUCCAGGGUGUUGUGGCCCUGUUAUGCUGCUGUUUGUGUAGUGGGGAGAGACAGCAUUGAUUAGAACUUGAUUUUCACUCGGGGUGUUGAUUCAUAACUUUAACCUGUGGUAAAAGCAAAUGUGGAAAUCAGCAAAUGCACAAUGGUCAUUGGAUCAUGGAAUUGUUAAUGCUGGAAAAGACCUCAUCAAAUCCAGCUGUGCUGGUUGAAAUGGAUAUUCCUAGCAGGACACAGAUUCCAGAAGCACUGCCUUGCUCUGACUGCCAGUCUCUUUGUGCAUUCUCUUUAAUCCUAAGAGUAAUCUUCUGUAACUGGAGUGAAUCAAGGCCCUCUCUGUGAUCUUUCUAAGCUGAAAACAACCUCUAGGCAGGAAGAAAUCAGUAUGCAAUAAAGCUUCCUACUUAUUUGAA
Molecule: RNA transcript, 1774 nt
Organism: Passer domesticus (house sparrow)
Lineage: Eukaryota; Metazoa; Chordata; Aves; Passeriformes; Passeridae
Gene: ARFRP1
Gene name: ADP ribosylation factor related protein 1
Exons: 9
Source: RefSeq, a predicted model, not a curated record